Molecule: unclassified non-coding RNA, 278 nt
Filed under: Hevea brasiliensis (rubber tree)
Lineage: Eukaryota; Viridiplantae; Streptophyta; Magnoliopsida; Malpighiales; Euphorbiaceae
Source: RNAcentral
UAUCACAACUUAGAAAUGCCUGGCAAACUGUUGAUAAGGUGUUCUUAUUUGAUGGUGCAGGUGCGCACUUUAGAGAUAUGUGGGACUUCGGUGGAUGAGAUUAGGAGUUUUGAGUACAACUGCAUUGGGGAAGUAAGAGUUUUAGGGGCUCUGCAACAUCCCUGCAUAGUUGAAUUGUAUGGACAUCAGAUAUCUUCAAAGUGGGUUCAUUCGGAAGAUGGUAAACCAGAGCGCCAGAUGUUACUGUCUGUGAUUCUUAUGGAGUAUGUUAAAGGGGG